RNAcentral lists this ribosomal RNA (442 nucleotides) under uncultured bacterium. Its description in RNAcentral is "bacterial SSU rRNA". It matches the Rfam family "Bacterial small subunit ribosomal RNA", at positions 340 to 774 of the family's 1533-position model. The record is from RNAcentral.
UACGGGAGGCAGCAGUGGGGAAUAUUGCACAAUGGGCGCAAGCCUGAUGCAGCCAUGCCGCGUGUAUGAAGAAGGCCUUCGGGUUGUAAAGUACUUUCAGUCGUGAGGAAGGUGUUAAGGUUAAUAACCUUAGCAAUUGACGUUAGCGACAGAAGAAGCACCGGCUAACUCCGUGCCAGCAGCCGCGGUAAUACGGAGGGUGCGAGCGUUAAUCGGAAUUACUGGGCGUAAAGGGCACGCAGGCGGUUAAUUAAGUUGGAUGUGAAAUCCCCGGGCUUAACCUGGGAAUGGCAUUCAAGACUGGUUAGCUAGAGUCUUGUAGAGGGGGUAGAAUUCCAUGUGUAGCGGUGAAAUGCGUAGAGAUGUGGAGGAAUACCGGUGGCGAAGGCGGCCCCUGGGACAAAGGACUGACGCUCAUGUGCGAAAGCGUGGGGAGCAAACG